GGCCUAGAGGACAGAACACUGGACUGGAACUCCAGUGACCUGGGUUCUAUUCCUGGCUUUGCCA
Molecule: transfer RNA, 64 nt
Filed under: Chelonia mydas (Green sea turtle)
Lineage: Eukaryota; Metazoa; Chordata; Testudines; Cheloniidae
Rfam family: tRNA
About the family: Transfer RNA (tRNA) molecules are approximately 80 nucleotides in length.
Source: Rfam by way of RNAcentral